GCCCCCGCGCCGCGCGCGCCCUCGAGGUGGGCCCGCAGGCCGCGCGAGCCCGAACGACCCGCCGCAGCGCCCGAACAGAGUAGUGUCCGCCGUCCUGAAGAGGGAAGGGGAGCUCCCGGGAAGACCCGAGUGUGGUAGGCGUCUCCCCUAUUCUAAGCUAAUUUAUCCGCACCACAGCGCUGUGAGGUGGGCACCGUCGUCCCCCUCAGAAGGGGCCCCGCAGCUGAGAGACGCUGUUACUUGUGCAGGGACACCCCGCUAGGAAGUAUCGAGAACUGUGAAGAAUCUCCCCUUGCAGGCCAACAGGGGAAGGCAGUCCUGAAAAGUUGGCUUUCGGGAAGGAAGCAGUUCGACCAGACCUCUAUGUGCUAUUCCAACAAUUUCUGUGACUUCCUGGGGUGAACUGAAUUGCUUCCACUUAGAAGCACACCUGGAUUCUGAAAGCAGCUAAUUUUAGAUUCCUUGUUUCAGUGCCAAGCAUCAAAGGAGAGUUGAAAGAACAAUCUUUGUUCAAUUGGAGUACAGAUUCUUUCAGUUGAGACCAAUUCUGCUGCCUCAUCUUAAGAUAAGCAAACUCCCAUUUAUUACAUAUCUUUAAGCUGAAACAUUUUGACCAAAGCAGGAGAAGCAAAAACCAAGAUCACCUUUAAGCAAAUGACUCACUGAGCAAGUAAAUACCAAGAAUGAAGAUUUUUAUGAGUGUAAAAUUAUUCCACAUGUGCAGGUGCAAUUUACUCAAUAGUUAUGGUUCUGACUUGGGUGAAAUAAUCUGUCAUCAAAGUGCCUAAAUCCCCUUGGAGGCAGGCAGAGGCUGAAUCCAGCUGCUAACCCCAGGUGGCAUGGCCAGGCCAGCAGCAUCCGUCCUCCGCCCCACGUCCAGUCUCCUGAUUGAACCAGCAGACACAGAUGCCCAAGCCAAUUAGAGAAAAUGGAACCUGGCAGAUGGAGAGACACACCACGGUCGGUCCCCCAGGAGCAGGAGUUUUAAUCACAGCCCAGUGUGAAGAACACUUAACGGAGAUUUGGAGAUUAUGAGAAACCAUUAGCACCUUGUCAACCACAGCAAUCAAGAGUGCCUUUUGCUUUAAACCAUAGCCUUCUACGUUCUCCCUAAAACUACAAAAGACCAGUUACUUGGAGCAACUCUGCUUGCUAGGAUUUCACUAGCUAGGAGCUCCUUGGAUUAUAGCAGGAAGAGCAAAUGGGACAGUCUAGGGUCCUCACCUUAACUCCUCCACUCCUAUAAUCUUCUGGUUGGCAGAUUGUUUUAAAGAGAGAUCUUCAGGGAUCCCUGGGUGGCGCAGCAGUUUGGCGCCUGCCUUUGGCCCAGGGCGCGAUCCUGGAGAUCCGGGAUCGAAUCCCACGUCGGGCUCCCGGUGCAUGGAGCCUGCUUCUCCCUCUACCUGUGUCUCUGCCUCUCUCUCUCA
Molecule: long non-coding RNA, 1427 nt
Organism: Canis lupus familiaris (dog)
Lineage: Eukaryota; Metazoa; Chordata; Mammalia; Carnivora; Canidae
Exons: 4
Source: RefSeq, a predicted model, not a curated record